GCUCCUGAGCUCAAGCUAUCCACUUGCCUCAGCCUCCCAAAUUGCUGAGAUUAGAAGAAUGAGCCACUGUGCCUGUGACUUACUUCUAACCCACAGAAUAGAGCAACAGUGAGAGGAUGUCAAUUCUGUGAUAGAUUGCAAAAUAUUGUAAGUUCCUAGCAGUCUUUCUCAUUGGUUUCAAUAAAAAAAAGCUGCUGUGCUGGAGGGACCCAUGAGGCAAAGAACUGAGAGCAGCCUUUAGCUAACAGCCGGCAAGGAAUGAGGUGCUUGGUCCAGCAAUCACAGAGAAACUGAAUCCUGCUGAUGAUCAUGAGGGUGAGCUUGGAAGCAGAUUCUGUCCCAGAUGAACUUUGAUUGUGUCUUGUUAGAAACCCUGGACCAACUCCUUGAUUGCACCUGUGAGAGGCCCUGAAGCGGAGGGCCCAGCUAAGGUGUGUCUGGAUUUCUGACCCACAGAAACUGAGAUCAUAAAUGUGUGGUUUUAAGCCCGUAAGUUUUGGAAUACAGUAGAUCUUCAUUAUUCACAGAUUUUGCACUUGCAAAUUUGCUUACUCGCUAAAAUUUAUUUGUAUCCCUAAAAUCAGUACUCCAGCACUUUCACAGUCAUUUACGGCAUCUGCAGAGCAGUGAAAAAUUUGAAUUGCCUGAGAUACAUGCUCCCUGCUGAAGUCGCACAAGCUGGCCAAUCCUGCUAAUCCUUUAAAACUCACCUGGAGGGAAGGCCUCCUUCUGCAAAGCCUCUCUUGAUGCAGAUUAUCAGCUUUCACUCUCUACCAGAUGGCAAGGAUAUUGCUGUUGGCUCAUAGGAUGUGAACAGUGGUGUUGAGAUUACCCUCAUUUGGCUGAUGAUGUCAUUGAGGCCCAGAGAAGGUAAGUAAUGUACCAAGGUUACAGACUAGUAAGUGACAGAGAUGGGUUUUGAGCCCCAUUCUUCUACAUUGUGUGCAAUAGCUCAUAUCAAGGUCACUAAAGCUGAAGACUGAAUUAUUUAUUCAAAUACUGCCAUCAUGCACCAAUAUUCUCAACAGGUAGGACACCUGGCAGGGCCUGGCUUUGGGGCUAACUUCUGCAGCUCUUUUGAUUGCCCCCACCUUACAGUUUUUGGCACAGAGCACUGUGUAGCUGGCACUUCUCUACUGGCCCGAAUGAGAAAACUUCCUCAGAGCAAAAUGUCAAGCACCAAAUAAGAUUCAUGUUUACUGUGAAGUGAUUGCUGCUUUUUAAAUGCUUAUCAGAAGCCGAAGGACAAACUCAGUAGGUUGAUUCAUGCUGAGCUCGACUACCUCCGUGAGAAAUGACUCUCCUGUAGGGCUCGAUGACCUUCAUGUCAAUGCGCUGCUCUUGUUCUCCAAUGACCACUGUCCUCCAAAGCCGGUUGUCCUCCCGUUCCUCUUCGGCCGUAUAUUCUGGAAUAGACUCUGACUCUUGGCCAGAAUCUUUGUUGGCUGUGGGAUCUUCUGGAAACAAAGCACAGAGCAAGGCUGAAGGAGCAAGACCUCCACAGUGCAGCUAAACAGCCAAAUGAGUCUCCCGCAAGUCAGGAAAACUGGAUAAAAAGAGGCCUAAAUGUGAGCAAGAGCUAUCAUGUUUGGCUUCAAGUAUUGUCUACUAUGUGCCGAGGAUAUAGAGGAACAAAACAGACCCGUCUCAUUCUCGUGGUGGAGUUGGGAUGAUGGAGCUAAUACAAUGACCCCUACCUUCAAAAACUCAGUGCUGCUCCCCUGGAUAGAGUGAGGCUUAAACAUGAAAAUUUGAGGAACGCUGAGCAGGAAUAGAAGGAAAGCCUACAUUUUUAUCAUUUCAACCUCUUUGCUUUUCAGAGAAUAAUUAACUCCUUGGCUGUGAAUGAUGGAUGCAUGGAGAAUUCUACCUCUUGCCUGCAGGCUAUUUGCUAGCUUCUUUUAAUAUUUUUCCUAUAACCUUAAGAUCUAUGAAUAGAUUUGUUUGUUGUGGAGAAGAUUAAAUUAGAUGGCAUAAUCUCACAUUGGAGAGGGGCAUAUACUUAUUUAGGAAGUGAGUUUACAGUUCACAACCAGGAUGGCUCAAAGGGAUCUCAAACUGAACAUGUUCAAAACCUAAUCCCACAUCUUCCUCUACGCAGAUCCGCUACAUCCUACCUUCUCUGUGACGACUUUGAAAAGUGUCCAUGAAUUCUUUGACACUCUUUUCAAAAGGUGGAGCCUAAUUUCCCGUCCCUUAAGUGUGGACUGAUGAUUUGCUUCUAAAGAACAGAAUAAGGUGGAAUGGAUGGUAGGUGACUUCUAAGGCUAGGUCCUAAAAAGCACUGUGUGCUUUGUUCUCUCUUGGGUCUCUCAGUCUGGGAGAAACCAGCUACCCUGUUGUAAGGACAGUCAAGCAGCCCUGUGGAGAGUCCAUGUGGCAAGGAACUGAGGCUUCCUGUGAAAAUCCAGGAAGGAACUGAAGCCUUCUGCCAACAGCCAUGUGAACGAGCCAUCUUGGAGGCAGAUCCUGCAGCCUGGCUAAUGUCUUGAUGGCAACUUAACAAGAUACCUUAAGCCAGAACCAUCUAGCUAAUACACUCUUGAAUUCCUAUUACAAACACUGGGAAAUAAUCAAUGUUUGUUGUUUUAAGCUGCUAAACUUUGAUAUUAUUUAUUUUAUUCAUUUAUUUUUUG
Molecule: long non-coding RNA, 2636 nt
Filed under: Homo sapiens (human)
Lineage: Eukaryota; Metazoa; Chordata; Mammalia; Primates; Hominidae
Description: HSALNT0352906
Source: RNAcentral